GAUGAACGCUAGCUACAGGCUUAACACAUGCAAGUCGAGGGACCGGCGCACGGGUGUGUAACACGUAUCCAACCUGCUCUUUACUCGGGGAUAGCCUUUCGAAAGAAAGAUUAAUACCCGAUAUAAAGGAUGGGGAUGCGUUCCAUUAGGUGGUUGGUGAGGUAUCGGCUCACCAAGCCUUCGAUGGAUAGGGGUUCUGAGAGGAAGGUCCCCCACAUUGGAAAUGAGACACGGUCCAGACUCGUACGGGAGGCAGAUGUGUGGAGUAUUGGGCAAUGGUCGCUAGCCUGAACCAGCCAAGUAGCGCGAAGGAGGAAGGCUUGUAGGUCGUAAGCUUCUUUUAUAUAAGAAGGUGUAUUAUAUGAAUAAGGAUCGGCUAACUCCCUGCCAGCCGCCGCGGCAAUAC
This 406-nucleotide ribosomal RNA is filed under the name uncultured bacterium. RNAcentral's name for it is "partial 16S ribosomal RNA". It matches the Rfam family "Bacterial small subunit ribosomal RNA", at positions 28 to 526 of the family's 1533-position model. The record is from RNAcentral.